RNAcentral lists this ribosomal RNA (589 nucleotides) under uncultured bacterium. RNAcentral describes it as "bacterial SSU rRNA". It matches the Rfam family "Bacterial small subunit ribosomal RNA", at positions 337 to 917 of the family's 1533-position model. The record is from RNAcentral.
UCCUACGGGAGGCAGCAGUGGGGAAUAUUGCACAAUGGGCGCAAGCCUGAUGCAGCCAUGCCGCGUGUGUGAAGAAGGCCUUCGGGUCGUAAAGCACUUUCAGUCGUGAGGAAGGUAGUGUAGUUAAUAGCUGCAUUAUUUGACGUUACCUACAGAAGAAGCACCGGCUAACUCCGUGCCAGCAGCCGCGGUAAUACGGAGGGUGCGAGCGUUAAUCGGAAUUACUGGGCGUAAAGCGCAUGCAGGCGGCCUGUUAAGUCAGAUGUGAAAGCCCGGGGCUUAACCUCGGAAUUGCAUUUGAAACUGGCAGGCUAGAGUCUUGUAGAGGGGGGUAGAAUUUCAGGUGUAGCGGUGAAAUGCGUAGAGAUCUGAAGGAAUACCAGUGGCGAAGGCGGCCCCCUGGACAAAGACUGACGCUCAGAUGCGAAAGCGUGGGGAGCAAACAGGAUUAGAUACCCUGGUAGUCCACGCCGUAAACGAUGAGUGCUAAGUGUUAGAGGGUUUCCGCCCUUUAGUGCUGAAGUUAACGCAUUAAGCACUCCGCCUGGGGAGUACGGCCGCAAGGCUGAAACUCAAAGGAAUUGACGGA